CUUGAUCGAGCCCAGCCACAGCGGAUCGUCGCGGUCCUGGCCGUACGUGGCCAGCAAUGCUUGCGCCUC
RNAcentral lists this antisense RNA (69 nucleotides) under Labedaea rhizosphaerae. RNAcentral describes it as "Labedella sp. RS-49 ASpks TB sRNA". It matches the Rfam family "ASpks TB sRNA". The record is from Rfam by way of RNAcentral. Lineage: Bacteria; Bacillati; Actinomycetota; Actinomycetes; Pseudonocardiales; Pseudonocardiaceae.